Molecule: unclassified non-coding RNA, 292 nt
Filed under: uncultured Gammaproteobacteria bacterium
Lineage: Bacteria; Pseudomonadati; Pseudomonadota; Gammaproteobacteria
Description: contains 16S-23S intergenic spacer region
Source: RNAcentral
GGACUACUGGGGUAUCUAAUCCUGUUUGCUCCCCACGCUUUCGUGCAUGAGCGUCAGUAUUGGCCCAGGGGGCUGCCUUCGCCAUCGGUAUUCCUCCACAUCUCUACGCAUUUCACUGCUACACGUGGAAUUCUACCCCCCUCUGCCAUACUCUAGCCUGCCAGUCACCAAUGCAGUUCCCAGGUUGAGCCCGGGGAUUUCACAUCGGUCUUAGCAAACCGCCUGCGCACGCUUUACGCCCAGUAAUUCCGAUUAACGCUUGCACCCUACGUAUUACCGCGGCGGCUGGCAC